RNAcentral lists this ribosomal RNA (464 nucleotides) under Vreelandella stevensii. Its description in RNAcentral is "partial 16S ribosomal RNA". It matches the Rfam family "Bacterial small subunit ribosomal RNA", at positions 339 to 795 of the family's 1533-position model. Lineage: Bacteria; Pseudomonadati; Pseudomonadota; Gammaproteobacteria; Oceanospirillales; Halomonadaceae. The record is from RNAcentral.
CCACGGGGGGCAGCAGUGGGGAAUAUUGGACAAUGGGCGAAAGCCUGAUCCAGCCAUGCCGCGUGUGUGAAGAAGGCCUUCGGGUUGUAAAGCACUUUCAGUGGGGAAGAAAGCCUUGGGGCUAAUACCCUCGAGGAAGGACAUCACCCACAGAAGAAGCACCGGCUAACUCCGUGCCAGCAGCCGCGGUAAUACGGAGGGUGCGAGCGUUAAUCGGAAUUACUGGGCGUAAAGCGCGCGUAGGCGGUCUGAUAAGCCGGUUGUGAAAGCCCCGGGCUCAACCUGGGAACGGCAUCCGGAACUGUCAGGCUAGAGUGCAGGAGAGGAAGGUAGAAUUCCCGGUGUAGCGGUGAAAUGCGUAGAGAUCGGGAGGAAUACCAGUGGCGAAGGCGGCCUUCUGGACUGACACUGACGCUGAGGUGCGAAAGCGUGGGUAGCAAACAGGAUUAGAUACCCCGGUAGUC